UUUCCGUAGGUGAACCUGCGGAAGGAUCAUUAUUGGAUUUUGAAACUUCAGGCUGCUGCUGGCUCUCCUCGGAGGGCAUGUGCACGCUUGUUGUCCAUUAUUUCUCCCACUGUGCACAAAUUGUAGACCUUUCAGUAGGCCUAUGUUGUUUUUCACAAUCUCUGAAUGUAAUAGAAUGGUUUUGAAUCUUGGGAAAUACAAAACAACUUUCAGCAACGGAUCUCUUGGCUCUC
Molecule: unclassified non-coding RNA, 233 nt
Filed under: plant metagenome
Description: partial contains small subunit ribosomal RNA, internal transcribed spacer 1, and 5.8S ribosomal RNA
Source: RNAcentral